UGAACAGCUCAGGACGAACGCUGGCGGCGUGCCUAAUACAUGCAAGUCGUACGCUUCUUUUUCCACCGGAGCUUGCUCCACCGGAAAAAGAAGAGUGGCGAACGGGUGAGUAACACGUGGGUAACCUGCCCAUCAGAAGGGGAUAACACUUGGAAACAGGUGCUAAUACCGUAUAACAAUCGAAACCGCAUGGUUUUGAUUUGAAAGGCGCUUUCGGGUGUCGCUGAUGGAUGGACCCGCGGUGCAUUAGCUAGUUGGUGAGGUAACGGCUCACCAAGGCCACGAUGCAUAGCCGACCUGAGAGGGUGAUCGGCCACAUUGGGACUGAGACACGGCCCAAACUCCUACGGGAGGCAGCAGUAGGGAAUCUUCGGCAAUGGACGAAAGUCUGACCGAGCAACGCCGCGUGAGUGAAGAAGGUUUUCGGAUCGUAAAACUCUGUUGUUAGAGAAGAACAAGGAUGAGAGUAACUGUUCAUCCCUUGACGGUAUCUAACCAGAAAGCCACGGCUAACUACGUGCCAGCAGCCGCGGUAAUACGUAGGUGGCAAGCGUUGUCCGGAUUUAUUGGGCGUAAAGCGAGCGCAGGCGGUUUCUUAAGUCUGAUGUGAAAGCCCCCGGCUCAACCGGGGAGGGUCAUUGGAAACUGGGAGACUUGAGUGCAGAAGAGGAGAGUGGAAUUCCAUGUGUAGCGGUGAAAUGCGUAGAUAUAUGGAGGAACACCAGUGGCGAAGGCGGCUCUCUGGUCUGUAACUGACGCUGAGGCU
This 766-nucleotide ribosomal RNA is filed under the name Enterococcus faecium. RNAcentral's name for it is "bacterial SSU rRNA". It matches the Rfam family "Bacterial small subunit ribosomal RNA", at positions 14 to 753 of the family's 1533-position model. Lineage: Bacteria; Bacillati; Bacillota; Bacilli; Lactobacillales; Enterococcaceae. The record is from RNAcentral.